RNAcentral lists this ribosomal RNA (733 nucleotides) under uncultured Bacteroidota bacterium. Its description in RNAcentral is "bacterial SSU rRNA". It matches the Rfam family "Bacterial small subunit ribosomal RNA", at positions 113 to 848 of the family's 1533-position model. Lineage: Bacteria; Pseudomonadati; Bacteroidota. The record is from RNAcentral.
ACACGUAUCCAACCUGCCUCAUACUCGGGGAUAGCCUUUCGAAAGAAAGAUUAAUAUCCGAUAGCAUAUAUUUCCCGCAUGGGUUUUAUAUUAAAGAAAUUCGGUAUGAGAUGGGGAUGCGUUCCAUUAGUUUGUUGGGGGGGUAACGGCCCACCAAGACUACGAUGGAUAGGGGUUCUGAGAGGAAGGUCCCCCACAUUGGAACUGAGACACGGUCCAAACUCCUACGGGAGGCAGCAGUGAGGAAUAUUGGUCAAUGGACGCGAGUCUGAACCAGCCAAGUAGCGUGAAGGAUGACUGCCCUAUGGGUUGUAAACUUCUUUUAUAUGGGAAUAAAGUUGUCCACGUGUGGAUUUUUGUAUGUACCAUAUGAAUAAGGAUCGGCUAACUCCGUGCCAGCAGCCGCGGUAAUACGGAGGAUCCGAGCGUUAUCCGGAUUUAUUGGGUUUAAAGGGAGCGUAGGCGGAUUGUUAAGUCAGUUGUGAAAGUUUGCGGCUCAACCGUAAAAUUGCAGUUGAUACUGGCAGUCUUGAGUGCAGUAGAGGUGGGCGGAAUUCGUGGUGUAGCGGUGAAAUGCUUAGAUAUCACGAAGAACUCCGAUUGCGAAGGCAGCUCACUGGAGUGUAACUGACGCUGAUGCUCGAAAGUGUGGGUAUCAAACAGGAUUAGAUACCCUGGUAGUCCACACAGUAAACGAUGAAUACUCGCUGUUUGCGAUAUACAGUAAGCGGCC